This 179-nucleotide unclassified non-coding RNA is filed under the name uncultured fungus. RNAcentral's name for it is "sequence contains ITS1, 5.8S rRNA gene". Lineage: Eukaryota; Fungi. The record is from RNAcentral.
AAGAGUAAGGGUCUUAUAGGCCCGACCUCCAACCCUCUGUUGUUAAAACUACCUUGUUGCUUUGGCGGGACCGUUCGGUCCCCGAGCGCGCCGGUCUUCGGAUUGGCGAGCGCCCGCCAGAGUCCAACCAAACUCUUGUAUUAAACCAGUCGUCUGAGUAUAAAAUUUUAAUUUAAUUA